RNAcentral lists this ribosomal RNA (207 nucleotides) under uncultured bacterium. RNAcentral's name for it is "partial 16S ribosomal RNA". It matches the Rfam family "Bacterial small subunit ribosomal RNA", at positions 568 to 774 of the family's 1533-position model. The record is from RNAcentral.
CACGUAGGCGGCUUGCUCAGUCGGGUGUGAAAGCCCACGGCUCAACCGUGGAACUGCAUCCGAUACUGGCAAGCUCGAGGACGGAAGGGGUGAGUGGAACUCCAGGUGGAACGGUGAAAUGUAUAGAUAUCUGGAGGAACACCGGUGGCGAAAGCGGCUCACUGGUCCGUCUCUGACGCUGAGGUGCGAAAGCUAGGGUAGCGAACG